This 253-nucleotide ribosomal RNA is filed under the name uncultured bacterium. RNAcentral's name for it is "partial 16S ribosomal RNA". It matches the Rfam family "Bacterial small subunit ribosomal RNA", at positions 524 to 776 of the family's 1533-position model. The record is from RNAcentral.
UACGUAGGGCGCAAGCGUUAUCCGGAAUUAUUGGGCGUAAAGAGCUCGUAGGCGGUUUGUCGCGUCUGCCGUGAAAGUCCGGGGCUCAACUCCGGAUCUGCGGUGGGUACGGGCAGACUAGAGUGAUGUAGGGGAGACUGGAAUUCCUGGUGUAGCGGUGAAAUGCGCAGAUAUCAGGAGGAACACCGAUGGCGAAGGCAGGUCUCUGGACAUUAACUGACGCUGAGGAGCGAAAGCAUGGGGAGCGAACAGG